CUUUUUUCUGCUCCGUACUCUCACCCUCAUGAGUGAAAUCUCAGUCGAGGAGGAUGUCCUGCUUCCCGAACACCUAGGCCUGAGAGGAGAGAUUUCCAAAAGCGUUGGGAAGUUUGGCCAAUAAGACAGGAGAAGACUGCACUGGCUGCAGCAGCCACGUCACCCAGCAGCUCACCGAGGCAGCUUCCCUGCCUGACUCCCCCGUUGCCUUGUCUAGGGAAAUGAGUUAAGUCAAGAGCCAUAAUGGCAGGCUAACUUCCACACCCUGCAGUCUCAUAAAGUCAAUUGAUUAAAGCAACAAAGCACCAGCCGACGUCUACACUUCUGUCUCCCUGCUUUCCGGGCACCACAAAUCCAGAGAGGCCACAAAAAGUCUCCCCACUCGGGCCCUCCUACAGCCCAAAGGUACCACGGGGCCAGCAGGCCUGGUGGCUGGGCUGUGGACGUCUCAAGGCUCAGGUGGAGUAUUCCAGAGGUAAAAGACUUGUGUCAAUUAGUCGAUCAACAUGUGACAUCACUCUUCAUUCUAGAGAAAGAAGUAUACACAUCUGGGUCUUUUUGCUUCUUAUGAUGGAUACGUGUGAACUGGUGAUGUGUCUUAUAUUCAUUAUCAUUUUCCUUCUGCUGAGAAUAAAAUAAAUCAUUCGUCCA
Molecule: long non-coding RNA, 651 nt
Organism: Leopardus geoffroyi (Geoffroy's cat)
Lineage: Eukaryota; Metazoa; Chordata; Mammalia; Carnivora; Felidae
Exons: 2
Source: RefSeq, a predicted model, not a curated record